GACGAACGCUGGCGGCGUGCUUAACACAUGCAAGUCGAACGGAAAGGCCCUGCUUUUGUGGGGUGCUCGAGUGGCGAAAGGGUGAGUAACACGUGAGUAACCUGCCCUUGACUUUGGGAUAACUUCAGGAAACUGGGGCUAAUACCGGAUAGGAGCUCCUGCUGCAUGGUGGGGGUUGGAAAGUUUCGGCGGUUGGGGAUGGACUCGCGGCUUAUCAGCUUGUUGGUGGGGUAGUGGCUUACCAAGGCUUUGACGGGUAGCCGGCCUGAGAGGGUGACCGGCCACAUUGGGACUGAGAUACGGCCCAGACGCCUACGGGGGGCAGCAGUGGGGAAUAUGGCACAAUGGGCGGAAGCCUGAUGCAGCAACGCCGCGUGCGGGAUGACGGCCUUCGGGUUGUAAACCGCUUUCGCCUGUGACGAAGCGUGAGUGACGGUAAUGGGUAAAGAAGCACCGGCUAACUACGUG
Molecule: ribosomal RNA, 468 nt
Filed under: uncultured bacterium
Lineage: Bacteria
Description: partial 16S ribosomal RNA
Rfam family: Bacterial small subunit ribosomal RNA
Source: RNAcentral